RNAcentral lists this ribosomal RNA (500 nucleotides) under uncultured bacterium. RNAcentral's name for it is "partial 16S ribosomal RNA". It matches the Rfam family "Bacterial small subunit ribosomal RNA", at positions 30 to 523 of the family's 1533-position model. The record is from RNAcentral.
AUUGAACGCUGGCGGAAUGCUUUACACAUGCAAGUCGAACGGCAGCACGGACUUCGGUCUGGUGGCGAGUGGCGAACGGGUGAGUAAUGUAUCGGAACGUGCCCAGUCGUGGGGGAUAACGUAGUGAAAAUUACGCUAAUACCGCAUACGAUCUAUGGAUGAAAGCGGGGGAUCGCAAGACCUCGCGCGAUUGGAGCGGCCGAUAUCAGAUUAGGUAGUUGGUGGGGUAAAGGCCCACCAAGCCAACGAUCUGUAGCUGGUCUGAGAGGACGACCAGCCACACUGGAACUGAGAAACGGUCCAGAGUCCUACGGGAGGCAGCAGUGGGGAAUUUUGGACAAUGGGCGAAAGCCUGAUCCAGCCAUUCCGCGUGCAGGAUGAAGGCCCUCGGGUUGUAAACUGCUUUUGUACAGAACGAAAAGGUUUCUACUAAUACUAGGAGCUCAUGACGGUACUGUAAGAAUAAGCACCGGCUAACUACGUGCCAGCCGCCGCCGCGG